This 293-nucleotide unclassified non-coding RNA is filed under the name uncultured fungus. RNAcentral describes it as "partial contains 5.8S ribosomal RNA, internal transcribed spacer 2, and large subunit ribosomal RNA". The record is from RNAcentral. Lineage: Eukaryota; Fungi.
AACGCACCUUGCGCCCCUCGGUAUUCCGUGGAGCAUGCCCGUUUGAGUGUCACGUUGAACCUCACCCUUGUGGCUUUCCUUGACUGUCACAGGUGGUGGACUUUGGACCGUGCCGGUCGCCGGCUCGUCCUGAAAUGCAUUAGCCGGCCCUGCUUAGAGUGCCCUUGGCUAGCGGUGUGAUAAUUAUCUGCGCCGUGACCUGCCUGGGAAACCCUUCUGUUCUGUGCUGCUUCCAGUCGGACAUCUUUUAAUGCUCUGGCCUCAAAUCGGGUAGGACUACCCGCUGAACUUAA